RNAcentral lists this non-coding RNA (29 nucleotides) under Rattus norvegicus (Norway rat). The record is from RNAcentral. Lineage: Eukaryota; Metazoa; Chordata; Mammalia; Rodentia; Muridae.
UAGGUGAUAUCCUUUGUAAACAUGGCAGC